UGGGGAAUAUUGGACAAUGGGCGCAAGCCUGAUCCAGCCAUGCCGCGUGAGUGAUGAAGGCCCUAGGGUUGUAAAGCUCUUUCACCGGUGAAGAUAAUGACGGUAACCGGAGAAGAAGCCCCGGCUAACUUCGUGCCAGCAGCCGCGGUAAUACGAAGGGGGCUAGCGUUGUUCGGAUUUACUGGGCGUAAAGCGCACGUAGGCGGACUUUUAAGUCAGGGGUGAAAUCCCGGGGCUCAACCCCGGAACUGCCUUUGAUACUGGUAGUCUUGAGUUCGAGAGAGGUGAGUGGAAUUCCGAGUGUAGAGGUGAAAUUCGUAGAUAUUCGGAGGAACACCAGUGGCGAAGGCGGCUCACUGGCUCGAUACUGACGCUGAGGUGCGAAAGCGUGGGGAGCAAACAGG
RNAcentral lists this ribosomal RNA (404 nucleotides) under Actinomycetes bacterium. Its description in RNAcentral is "Actinobacteria bacterium partial 16S ribosomal RNA". It matches the Rfam family "Bacterial small subunit ribosomal RNA", at positions 355 to 776 of the family's 1533-position model. Lineage: Bacteria; Bacillati; Actinomycetota; Actinomycetes. The record is from RNAcentral. RNAcentral also lists the same sequence under 1 other name.